GCCUACGGGGGGCAGCAGUGAGGAAUAUUGGUCAAUGGGCGCGAGCCUGAACCAGCCAAGUAGCGUGAAGGAUGACGGCCCUAUGGGUUGUAAACUUCUUUUAUAUGGGAAUAAAGUUUGGUAUGCAUACCAUUUUGUAUGUACCAUAUGAAUAAGGAUCGGCUAACUCCGUGCCAGCAGCCGCGGUAAUACGGAGGAUCCGAGCGUUAUCCGGAUUUAUUGGGUUUAAAGGGAGCGUAGGUGGAUUGUUAAGUCAGUUGUGAAAGUUUGCGGCUCAACCGUAAAAUUGCAGUUGAAACUGGCAG
RNAcentral lists this ribosomal RNA (305 nucleotides) under uncultured bacterium. Its description in RNAcentral is "bacterial SSU rRNA". It matches the Rfam family "Bacterial small subunit ribosomal RNA", at positions 337 to 639 of the family's 1533-position model. The record is from RNAcentral.